GAAAUGCGAUAAGUAGUGUGAAUUGCAGAAUUCAGUGAAUCAUCGAAUCUUUGAACGCACAUUGCGCCCCUUGGUAUUCCAUGGGGCAUGCCUGUUCGAGCGUCAUUUGUACCUUCAAGCUUUGCUUGGUGUUGGGUGUUUGUCUCGCCUCUGCGCGCAGACUCGCCUCAAAACAAUUGGCAGCCGGCGUAUUGAUUUCGGAGCGCAGUACAUCUCGCGCUUUGCACUCAUAACGACGACGUCCAAAAAGUACAUUUUUUACACUCUCGACCUCGGAUCAGGUAGGGAUACCCGCUGAACUUAAGC
Molecule: unclassified non-coding RNA, 306 nt
Filed under: plant metagenome
Description: partial contains 5.8S ribosomal RNA, internal transcribed spacer 2, and large subunit ribosomal RNA
Rfam family: 5.8S ribosomal RNA (bases 1-105)
Source: RNAcentral